GAUGAACGCUGGCGGCGUGCCUAAUACAUGCAAGUCAAGCGAACGGACGAGAAGCUUGCUUCUCUGAUGUUAGCGGCGGACGGGUGAGUAACACGUGGAUAACCUACCUAUAAGACUGGGAUAACUUCGGGAAACCGGAGCUAAUACCGGAUAAUAUUUUGAACCGCAUGGUUCAAAAGUGAAAGACGGUCUUGCUGUCACUUAUAGAUGGAUCCGCGCUGCAUUAGCUAGUUGGUAAGGUAACGGCUUACCAAGGCAACGAUGCAUAGCCGACCUGAGAGGGUGAUCGGCCACACUGGAACUGAGAAACGGUCCAGACUCCUACGGGAGGCAGCAGUAGGGAAUCUUCCGCAAUGGGCGAAAGCCUGACGGAGCAACGCCGCGUGAGUGAUGAAGGUCUUCGGAUCGUAAAACUCUGUUAUUAGGGAAGAACAUAUGUGUAAGUAACUGUGCACAUCUUGACGGUACCUAAUAAGAAAGCCACGGCUAACUACGU
Molecule: ribosomal RNA, 496 nt
Filed under: uncultured bacterium
Lineage: Bacteria
Description: partial 16S ribosomal RNA
Rfam family: Bacterial small subunit ribosomal RNA
Source: RNAcentral